CGUGAGGCCAAUGAGGAGUUGCAGUGUGUUCAACUACAAAAUAGAGAAAUUGGAAACAUAAUGGAUUCUAACAUUGUGCCAGAGGACAUUGCUGAAUUGAAGUAAGGGAACAUCCUUUUUUAAAUGCUUAAUCAUUGUAGACCUACUUUAAAUUGUCAUCCUAGCUCUCUGUAUGACUCUAAAUCUCUGGCAUUAAUAUCGAGCUAAUCCACACCUCAGUGUGUAUGUGCAGAAAUUGGUUUUGUCCAUGAGUUAAAAAAGGUUGUGACUUAGAGGUUAUAAAUGCCAAAUAAAAAUUACAUAAUGAUGUUGCAUCCAGUCGAGCUUGACUUGAAAGAAGGUGAAUUAAGGCAAUCUGGGUUUCCCAGUUUCUAUUGUAUACUCAUCUCCAUUUUGCUACCUUCAAAAGCCUUGUAAAUGGGGAGUUGUCAGCAGUCUUAAAGAAAAGUGAAGGAAGAGCAAAAAAUAACCCUUUAUCUUAAUAUGUGUGAUACAAACACAUACCUAAUUUUAAUUGCCUGAGGAAAACAUUUUUUAAGUUGACAGACCCCACUUAAAAAAUAAGUAAAGAAGUAAAGUAUCAAUCCUUUCUUAAUUUUUUGCUGUUUUGCAUCUCUUUUAGGGUUCAGCUUGUCCAGCUUAACUCUGAAAACAAAAUUUUGAAAUUGAAUCAAAAGAAACCAGAAGACCAGAACUUGGCAGUGGUUCAAUCUCUUCUUGACGAUAAAACUCAAGCAUACAAUCGAUUGAAUCAAGAAAACAGAAGACUGAAUCAGCGCAUAAUGGAGCUUGAAUCUGAGAGGAAAGAAGAUGAUAAAAUGGACGAAAACGAUGCUUCUGCCUUAAAAUCGAAGUUGACUGAGCUUCAAGAUAAGCAGCAUAGCAUGAAAGAAGAGCUUGAUGAGAAAGUCAGCAUCAUCAUGGAAAAAAGUAAUUUGUUUGCCGUUUUUCCCAAAAUGUUGCAUACAUUAGAAGUACUGCACUGUUCUUGGAACUAGCUUUGAUCAAUGUGAAUCAAUUUGAUCAACAUGAAUUUUUAUCUAAAAUUUAUUAAA
Molecule: long non-coding RNA, 1055 nt
Filed under: Bemisia tabaci
Lineage: Eukaryota; Metazoa; Arthropoda; Insecta; Hemiptera; Aleyrodidae
Description: lncRNA ENSSSA2NGG001779
Source: RNAcentral